AUAAAUGUUAAUAAAUCCGGUUUGCUGUCGUUGUGACAGCCUCUUGUUGCAGAAUACAUUGAAUUAUUUUUAUCUUUUGCCUGUGUCAAAUUGUACUACCAUUACACAUUUCCUUUGGUUUACGAUCAUUAUUACUAACAGAUCUAGUUGCCCUCAGAAAUCAGGCAAACACUAAUGUGUACACCUGUUCUGGGCUAUUGACAACCUUAUGCAGGAAAAAGUCGAAAAGUUAUUAAAAUGAAUUUUACAAUGUCAUGUUAUUCUAAAUAUAAAAAGUUGAAUGAAUGUUUAAGCAGCAGGUCUGUUAGAUAAUAGGUUUGUCAUUUUUGUUAGCGUAGAGAUAUAGCUCAGGACCAAAUAAGAAUUGUCAAUGACUGUUAAUGUAACAUUGAGCAAAAAAUGUGAGAAUUUAAAACUGGAAGGUUUUUUUUCCAGUUUUAAUUGAAAGUGCUAUUAAAAGGGUACUUACUACAAUAUUAUUGUAAGAUAUUUUUUUAUGAGGUUUUUUUUUUUUUUUUUUUAUAUAUUGCUGGAAAAUCUUUAGUUUUUCAAUUUGAUUAAUUGUUUUAUGAUUUCUUUUAACUUAAUUAUUGUGUUAAUGAAAAAUGGCAAACCAGAUAUUUGACUGGUGUUUCUUAUACCUCUGUGCAAAGAUGGAUAUAUAUAUAUAUA
This 672-nucleotide long non-coding RNA is filed under the name Mytilus galloprovincialis (Mediterranean mussel). Lineage: Eukaryota; Metazoa; Mollusca; Bivalvia; Mytilida; Mytilidae. The record is from RNAcentral.